AUAAAACUUUCAACAACGGAUCUCUUGGCUCUCGCAUCGAUGAAGAACGCAGCGAAUUGCGAUAAGUAAUGUGAAUUGCAGAAUUCAGUGAAUCAUCGAAUCUUUGAACGCAGCUUGCGCUCUCUGGUAUUCCGGAGAGCAUGCCUGUUUCAGUGUCA
This 158-nucleotide ribosomal RNA is filed under the name basidiomycete from Sasa variegata. Its description in RNAcentral is "5.8S ribosomal RNA". It matches the Rfam family "5.8S ribosomal RNA". From Rfam's summary of the family: 5.8S ribosomal RNA (5.8S rRNA) is a component of the large subunit of the eukaryotic ribosome. Lineage: Eukaryota; Fungi; Basidiomycota. The record is from RNAcentral.